UACAGAGGGGGCGAGCGUUGUUCGGAAUUACUGGGCGUAAAGGGCUCGUAGGCGGCCAACUAAGUCAUACGUGAAAUCCCUCAGCUUAACUGGGGAACUGCGUGUGAUACUGGAUGGCUUGGAUUUGGGAGAGGGAUGCGGAAUUCCAGGUGUAGCGGUGAAAUGCGCAGAUAUCAGGAGGAACACCGGUGGCGAAGGCGGGUCUCUGGGCCGAUACUGACGCUGAGGAGCGAAAGCGUGGGGAGCGAACAGG
This 253-nucleotide ribosomal RNA is filed under the name uncultured bacterium. RNAcentral's name for it is "partial 16S ribosomal RNA". It matches the Rfam family "Bacterial small subunit ribosomal RNA", at positions 524 to 776 of the family's 1533-position model. The record is from RNAcentral.